ACUUAUAUAAUUUAAGAUUAGAAUUUUGCUUUGAAGCAGCAACGGUGGCAAAUUUGCCUGUAAGUAA
Molecule: transfer RNA, 67 nt
Filed under: Homarus americanus (American lobster)
Lineage: Eukaryota; Metazoa; Arthropoda; Malacostraca; Decapoda; Nephropidae
Description: tRNA-Phe
Source: RNAcentral